This 546-nucleotide ribosomal RNA is filed under the name Saguinus mystax (moustached tamarin). Its description in RNAcentral is "partial 16S ribosomal RNA". It matches the Rfam family "Bacterial large subunit ribosomal RNA", at positions 1816 to 2597 of the family's 2925-position model. The record is from RNAcentral. Lineage: Eukaryota; Metazoa; Chordata; Mammalia; Primates; Cebidae.
CACCUCUAGCAUACCCAGUAUUAGAGGCACUGCCUGCCCAGUGACACAUGUUCAACGGCCGCGGUACACUGACCGUGCAAAGGUAGCAUAAUCACUUGUUCCCUAAAUAGGGACUCGUAUGAAUGGCCACACGAGGGUUUAACUGUCUCUUACUUUUAAUCAGUGAAAUUGACCUAUCCGUGAAGAGGCGGAUAUACCAAAAUAAGACGAGAAGACCCUAUGGAGCUUCAAUUAAAUAGUACACACUAAUACUUUUAAAACCCACAGGCAACAACCUAUCGUUAAUGUACUAUAAAUUUUGGUUGGGGUGACCUCGGAGUAUAAUAUAACCUCCGAAAAACACACACUAAGACUUCACUAGUCUAAGUAAACACAUAUUAAUUGACCCAAUAACUUGAUCAACGGACUAAGUUACCCUAGGGAUAACAGCGCAAUCCUAUUUUAGAGUCCAUAUCGACAAUAGGGUUUACGACCUCGAUGUUGGAUCAAGACAUCCUAAUGGUGCAGAAGCUAUUGAGGGUUCGUUUGUUCAACGAUUAAAGUCUU